UCCUUCAGCUCUCCUUUGUUCGCCUUCCUCCUUCACCUCCAGCCCAAAGACAAUGGCCGCCUCCGCCGUCUCCCGCCUCAACCCCAUAGCCUCGCCUUACCUUCCGAUGACACUCGCUCCCACGUGGUGCUACCCCUCUCCUUUCUCCUACCUGCCGCCUCCGGCCCCACUCCCGCCGGCGCACGGGUGGCCUUUUGCCUACGGCGGCGACUGGUGCCACACAGUGGGGAUGCCCUCGUUCCCGCUGCAGACAGCAUACGGGCACCCCGCUCCAUUGAUGGUUUAUUGCUGCACGGCGCCGCCACCGCCACCGCAAUCGGCGACCCGUUGUCGAAUCACGGAGAUCAUCGAGGACGGAGGCGAGGUAGCCUCGAAGGAAGAGGUCAGGGACGAGCCUUCCCCGCGCUCCGUCCUCACUCCUUGGAGCAGGGAUCCGCCCACUUCGCCCCUGCCACCGCGAGCGCCGCUUCUGCGCCCCCCGCCGCGUACGUCUUCCGCGGGCAAACCUCGCCGCCGCCAGUGGCCACGCCUCGCCUUCAACCCCAAAGAGAAUAACACGUCCCUGAUGAUUCGCAAUAUUCCCAAUAAAUUUAUGUAUGUAAUACUAGUUGUUUGCCCUCUUUGUUUGAUCGAUCUCAUGUCACCUAGCUAGUUCAUGCUCGAUAUUUUUGGGUCUUCUGCUUAAAGAUUGGCUUCAUAUGGGACAUUGCAGGAAGAGGAGAUUCAUGGCUAUCCUCGACCAGCACUGCGCCGAGGAGAACGCCAAGCUCGGCGGCGACGGCGAAGGGGUCAGGUCCGAGUACGACUUCCUCUACGUCCCCGUCGACUUCGGGUAUGAUUGCUAGCGGUUUCCCCUCCCGAGAGUUACUUUCCAUACAAUCAAUGCUACCUUUUCCUACUCUUUGAAUCCAAUCCGUGUGCACCUUUUUGAUGAGGUUUAUUGUCUUUUGCACAGGACGAGGUUCAACAAGGGCUACGCCUUCGUGAACAUGACGACGGCGGCGGCGGCGCGGCGGCUCCACGCGCACCUCAACGGCCACCGCUGGGAGGCCGCGGGCUCCAAGAAGGUGUGCGACGUCGUGCACGCGCGCCUGGAGGUACGCGCCUAGUUACUGCUCGCUCUGGCUCGUCGGUUCAAUCUCCCCGUCGCGUGCUGCGCGCUAAUUAAUGUCCGCCAUCAUCAUGUAAUUGGAUUGGGGUUCGUAAUUCGUAUCGCAUGCAGGGGCUGGACGGGCUCGUGGCGCACUUCUCCGCGUCGUGGUUCCCCUGCGGCGGCCGCAAGGAUUUCCUGCCGGUGCGCUUCGAGCCGCCGCGCGACGGCGUGCGUUGGACGGCGGAGCACGUGGUCGGCCACCUCCAGCCUCGCCGCUCCUGCUGAUGGAAGCGCUCGUCGGCGGCCGCCGGCCAGCGGGCCUGGGUAAACUAUCAAUCAAUCUUUCUUGCAUUCUGUCCUCGUCCAUGCCAUGGAUGGAUAGAACGGGAGAUAGAUUAUAUCGCCUCAUCAUUCCAUGUGUUCUACAAAGUGUCGUUCCUCCUGGUUUAGUCAGUCACUAGAAUCUGGUAGAACUAGUAGUAGCAGAAGUGUUCAGUCCGUGUCCUAGAAUCCCCUUGUUGUAUGACAUGCCGGUGUGCGCGCGGCACCUCUGAACUGAUGGCCUCUCGCCAGGAAAUUUAAAUCUCUGUUGUUGUAUUACGUGUGCAAAUUUCC
RNAcentral lists this long non-coding RNA (1708 nucleotides) under Triticum aestivum (bread wheat). Its description in RNAcentral is "long non-coding RNA (TAES_LNC018197)". Lineage: Eukaryota; Viridiplantae; Streptophyta; Magnoliopsida; Poales; Poaceae. The record is from RNAcentral.